AGUGAACGCUGGCGGUAGGCCUAACACAUGCAAGUCGAACGGCAGCACAGUAAGAGCUUGCUCUUACGGGUGGCGAGUGGCGGACGGGUGAGGAAUACAUCGGAAUCUACUUUUUCGUAGGGGAUAACGUAGGGAAACUUACGCUAAUACCGCAUACGACCUACGGGUGAAAGCAGGGGAUCUUCGGACCUUGCGCGAUUGAAUGAGCCGAUGUCGGAUUAGCUAGUUGGCGGGGUAAAGGCCCACCAAGGCGACGAUCCGUAGCUGGUCUGAGAGGAUGAUCAGCCACACUGGAACUGAGACACGGUCCAGACUCCUACGGGAGGCAGCAGUGGGGAAUAUUGGACAAUGGGCGCAAGCCUGAUCCAGCCAUGCCGCGUGGGUGAAGAAGGCCUUCGGGUUGUAAAGCCCUUUUGCUGGGAAAGAAAAGCAGCAGGUUAAUACCCCGCUGUUCUGACGGUACCCAAAGAAUAAGCACCGGCUAACUUCGUG
RNAcentral lists this ribosomal RNA (492 nucleotides) under uncultured bacterium. Its description in RNAcentral is "partial 16S ribosomal RNA". It matches the Rfam family "Bacterial small subunit ribosomal RNA", at positions 29 to 507 of the family's 1533-position model. The record is from RNAcentral.